Molecule: long non-coding RNA, 1436 nt
Filed under: Macaca mulatta (Rhesus monkey)
Lineage: Eukaryota; Metazoa; Chordata; Mammalia; Primates; Cercopithecidae
Description: lncRNA (ENSMMUG00000063698.1)
Source: RNAcentral
AGAAUGACAGGGCUUUUGCAAAAGUCUGACACCCGUGGCACAGAGCGCCCCAGAUAUGGAGGGUUUCACAGGCUCAUGUAUGGCUACUUCAGUCGUCUCUUCAUUCAUUUAUUCAACAACAUAUUACUAAGGAACCUCCGUAAGCCUGGAUGCUGAACAUGGAAAAAUAGAUCCCGUGUCUGCAGCACGUGCUGAUCGCCAAGGGUGAGGCUGGAUGAAGCCAGAGGCUAUGGAAAGGAGACUGUUUCAGAGGACUUGACACCGUCUUCAGUAAUUUCUCUGGUUCUUGGCAGCUCCAUUUGGCUGUGUCCCUACCCUGCACAACCCUCCCAUGCAGUCUACUCCAGGGCAGCGUCCAGCUGGUGACCUGAGAGGGCAGCGGUGCGCCAGUCUCCAUGAAGGUUGAGCUCGGAUGGCCAACAGCAAUUUUCACCCUGUGGUCUACAGCUCUUCAUCCUGACUGCAUGGAGAUUGGUCUCUCUCCUCAGCUGGAUUGAGGCCACCAUCUGAGCCCCCGGGGUACGUUUUGUCUGACCCUGGCACCAUUCGAUUCUUCUACAGCAUCAGAAUGUCAGGAUAUGUGGAUGUCAUAAGAAGAAACCCUUGGACAGCCCAUCUGUGUGUUCAAAGACAACCCCUCUACCAGCCCUGCUCACCACAAAAGAGGGGAAAGUCAAAGAGCAAAAGUAGAGACAGGGUCCUGCUGUGUUGCCCAGGCUGGCCUUGAACUCCUGGCUUCAAACAGUCCUCCCACCUGGACCUCCCAAAGUGCUGGGAUUACAGGGGCGAGUUACAGCACCAAGCCCUGAAAUGAAUAUAGGAUCGACUCAGACAAGGUACCAGUUCUACCUGCACCACGGUCACUUGAGGAUCUUAUCACCACCACACUCACAAGACUACCGGCAGCCUCGCUUUUUCCUUCCAACAUGAGUGGAAGCAGCCUGAGGCAUCACCAGAAGCAGAUGCUGAUGCCAUGCUUCUUGUACAGCCUGCAGAACAGUGACACCCCUGCUCCCCAUUUGCCCUCUGCCAUCAGUAAAAGCUUCCUGAGACCUCACCAGAAGCUGGACAGAUGCUGGUGCCGUGCUUGUACAGCCUGCAGAACCAGGAGCCAAAUCAACCUCUUUUCUUUAUAAAUUGCCCAGCCUCAGGGGUUCCUUUACAGCAGUGCAAGAACAGACCAACACAGAAGUGUGUGGAGUGAAACCUAAAGCAGUGUUUCUAAAAGUGAGAUCCUAGGAACAGCACCACCUGUACCACAUGCAUCACCUGGGAAUCUGUUAGAAAAGCAAAGCCUCAGGCUCCAUCCCAGACCACCUCAGGCAGAAGCUCUGGGGGUGGGGUCCAGGAAUCUGGGAUUUAACAAGCUCUCCAGGUGAUGCUGAUGCAUGUUCAGUUUGAAAACAAUGGACCCAGAGAGCCUCUAAAGUGCAACC